RNAcentral lists this transfer RNA (67 nucleotides) under Bemisia afer. Its description in RNAcentral is "tRNA-Glu". Lineage: Eukaryota; Metazoa; Arthropoda; Insecta; Hemiptera; Aleyrodidae. The record is from RNAcentral.
GUUACUAUAGUUUAUAUAAAACGUUAUAUUUUCAUUAUAAAGAUAAAUGAAGUUAAUUUUAGAAACU